GGUAACUUAUUCUUAUAAUCAUUAAUAAUGGAUCAUAAUUCUAUUCAUCUAUAUUUAUUAUUUAAGAAGAGUUCAUCUUAUCUCCCCGUCACCCCAACUAAACAAUUCUAAAUCAAGUCUCACCUCCACCUAAAUAUACUUAUUAUUAUCAAUUGUUAAACUCUAUAGGGUCUUCUCGUCCUCCAAUUUCAUUUUAGCCUUUUAACUAAAAAGUUAAAUUUUAACUUAAUCUUCAUGAGACAGUCAACACCUCGUCCAACCAUUCAUUCCAGCCUCUAAUUAAGAGACUAAUGAUUAUGCUACCUUUGCACGGUCAAAAUACCGCGGCCCUUCAAUUUUCAGCGGGCAGGCUAGACCUCUUACAUUUACAAGAAGCGAUGUUUUUGAUAAACAGGCGAGCAUUAAUUUGCCGAAUUCCUUAUAAAGACCUUUCUAACCAACUAUACUUACACAUUACUAUACUAAUUUUACCAUUAUUGCCCAUUCCUUUUUAUUUCCAAUGACACUUUGAUAUAUAAAUUAAACCCUAUAAAAUUAAACUUAUAUCCAAUAAACUAUAACGUUAUUAUUCGAUGGCUGAUUUCAAGCCUACCCAUUUAAAAUCUAAACUCAUUAUAAUUCUACUUUUAAGCUUAUCCCUCAAAAUAUUAACAGCUAACCCCUAAGUCAAUUCACACUUAUCAACAUAGCAUUUCCAUCUGAAUUGAAUUCAUUUCUCAAAGAACUAGAAACCUUUAAAUUCGUCUAACAUCUCAUUUCUAAAAGAGUAUCGAUGAUAAAUUUACAACUUCAACCAAACUACUCCUUUAGCCCAUUUAAAAUCGAGAAAACAAAAUCCUUAACUUCAUUUAGUAAACCCUGAUACACAAGGUACAACAUUAAAUCUACUUUUCACUAAAUUCUUUUUCAACCUAUUUCAACUUUCCCUCUCAGUACUUACUUUAUCAUUCUCCCCGUAAUUUCUCUACCCAAUACUCAAACCCAAAACCUAAUAUUGAUUUACCUACCCAAUUUUAAUUACUCUAUCAUUCUCAAUUAAUACUCCCUCAAUCAAAAUAAAUUGAAUCACACAAUAACUUUUCAAUGUAAAUGAAAUGCUUUACUAGUCAAGCUCUA
This 1116-nucleotide ribosomal RNA is filed under the name Dipteromimus tipuliformis. RNAcentral describes it as "partial 16S ribosomal RNA". Lineage: Eukaryota; Metazoa; Arthropoda; Insecta; Ephemeroptera; Dipteromimidae. The record is from RNAcentral.